This is a long non-coding RNA of Sinocyclocheilus grahami, 329 nucleotides long. RefSeq lists it as uncharacterized. The transcript has 3 exons. The record is from RefSeq and is a predicted model, not a curated record. Lineage: Eukaryota; Metazoa; Chordata; Actinopteri; Cypriniformes; Cyprinidae.
UGUACUAUUUAUGUAAAUGUGUAACUUUGAUGUGUUUUAACGGGCGCGCACGUUGAGCAUUCAAAUCGCAUUUAAACUGGAGCGGAAGGCGUUACCAUGGAAACGGGCCGUCAACUCACUCAGCUGACAAGUAGCGAGAGUCCAUAUCUCUGCUUUUUUCACUGCUUGUAAGGAAUGGAUUAGUGUCUUCAAAAAGACCAUUAGCAUCACAACCGUUAACUAGCUAUAGAGGCUAACUAUUAGAGGAGCAUCAGAAAACCCUAAAAUGGGAAGUUACAAGAAAAUGUGUCAUGGGAGCUGCUGACAGAGAUACAGGAAACACAGGUGAU